AACGAACGCUGGCGGCAUGCCUAACACAUGCAAGUCGAACGCGACCUUCCGGUUUAGUGGCGCACGCGUGCGUAUCGCGUGUGAACCUCUCCUUUCGUUCUGAAUACCUCCCCGGAAGGGGUUCUAAUAUCCGCUAAUUUCCUCGAACCAAAGAUUUUUCUUCAUUGGAUGUGCCCUCGCUGGAGUUUCUCUUUUGUAUGGUAUAAGCCUACCAAGGCGACGAUCAAUAGCUGGUAUGUGAGGAUGAGCAGCAACACUGUGACUGAGACACGGACCAGACUCCUAGGGGAGGCAGUAGUGGGGAAUAUUGGACAAUGGGAGAAAGGAUGAACCAGUAAUGCGGGGUGAGGGAAGAAGGUCGGAGGGUAGUAAAGCUCUUUUAGCCGGGAUGAUAAUGACAGUACCGGGAGAAUAAGCACCGGCUAACUCCGUG
Molecule: ribosomal RNA, 433 nt
Filed under: uncultured bacterium
Lineage: Bacteria
Description: partial 16S ribosomal RNA
Rfam family: Bacterial small subunit ribosomal RNA
Source: RNAcentral